CCCUUGAAGACGACGAGGUAGAUAGGGCAGAGGUGGAAGUGCAGUAAUGCAUGGAGCUGACUGUUACUAAUAGGUCGAGGGCUUAACCAAG
This 91-nucleotide ribosomal RNA is filed under the name Clostridiaceae bacterium AF42-6. RNAcentral describes it as "partial 23S ribosomal RNA". It matches the Rfam family "Bacterial large subunit ribosomal RNA", at positions 2835 to 2925 of the family's 2925-position model. The record is from RNAcentral. Lineage: Bacteria; Bacillati; Bacillota; Clostridia; Eubacteriales; Clostridiaceae.